CCUACGGGAGGCAGCAGUGAGGAAUAUUGGUCAAUGGGCGGGAGCCUGAACCAGCCAAGUCGCGUGAGGGAAGACGGUCCUAUGGAUUGUAAACCUCUUUAGGCGGGGAGCAAUGCCGGGCACGUGUGCCCGGAGGGAGAGUACCCGCAGAAUAAGCAUCGGCUAACUCCGUGCCAGCAGCCGCGGUAAUACGGAGGGUGCGAGCGUUAUCCGGAAUUAUUGGGUUUAAAGGGUGCGGAGGCGGAUUUUUUAGUCAGCGGGAAAAUGUUCGGGCUUAAGCCGGGCCCGGCGGUUGAUAUUGGGGAUCUUGAGUGGGCGAGAGGUAUGCGGAAUGCGUGGUGUAGCGGUGAAAUGCAUAGAUAUCACGCAGAACUCCGAUUGCGAAGGCAGCAUACCGGCGCCCGACUGACGCUGAGGCACGAAAGCGUGGGGAUCGAACAGGAUUAGAUACCCGAGUAGUC
This 461-nucleotide ribosomal RNA is filed under the name uncultured bacterium. RNAcentral's name for it is "partial 16S ribosomal RNA". It matches the Rfam family "Bacterial small subunit ribosomal RNA", at positions 338 to 795 of the family's 1533-position model. The record is from RNAcentral.